Molecule: long non-coding RNA, 777 nt
Organism: Gadus macrocephalus (Pacific cod)
Lineage: Eukaryota; Metazoa; Chordata; Actinopteri; Gadiformes; Gadidae
Exons: 3
Source: RefSeq, a predicted model, not a curated record
GGAAAGUUUGGUUUGAUUAUGUUUCUCUUCUGCCGUUGUGAAAUGAUACAGGUAAAUGCAGAGUUGAACUUUGAUAUGCAAUCUGAGAAAAUACAAGUCUGACUUAAUGACAACGCGGCCUAUUUUCAGAAGCCAGAUGUGUGAUGGAACAGCAGACGGCUGGGGGAGGACUGAUUGAGGUGCAAGUUUGCAAGAGACACACACACACGUGAACGCACAGAGCCUGGAGGACAGCAUAAGUACCGUGGUCAAUUUGCUGCCCGAGUCAUGAGCCGGAAUGGAAACUCUAAUGAAAUCUAUUCAUCACGCAACGGCACUGGAAGCUGGAGAUGGGAAAGGAAAGAGAAAGAUGGAAAUAAAAAGAGAGAAGAAAAGCCAUUGUGCAGAAAUGUUUUCCUGGCUGCUUAAACAGGAAAAAAAGUGAUCUGGGAAAUGCUGAGGCGGUGUGGAAGCUCUGACCUGACCCACAUCUAUUUUACAAAUAAAUAGAUAUGUGUCCACAGUGCCUCUUAUUUAAAUAAUGAUUAACCAAAGAACGAAUGUUGCAGUGAACCAGACAACCGGUUACAAGUACCACUUUAAUAGAUAUGAGUAAAAUAUACAAAAUGCUUUGCGAUGCAAUCUGAAACUGAGCCAUUGUUUUUCGACUCAAAUGCCAUUAACACAUAAGGUAAAGGAAGACACAGUUAGAGUAUCCAAAAUGGCUUCCUCAGCAAAUGACUCCCUGUAAUAGUCCAACGCUAUACUACACCUCCAUAAACACAAUGACUCUUCUGC